CCGCCCGUAGCUCAACCGGAUAGAGCACCGGCCUUCUAAGCCGGGGGUUGGGGGUUCGAGUCCCUUCGGGCGGACCA
Molecule: transfer RNA, 77 nt
Filed under: Burkholderiales bacterium
Lineage: Bacteria; Pseudomonadati; Pseudomonadota; Betaproteobacteria; Burkholderiales
Also listed under: 2 other names
Description: tRNA-Arg
Rfam family: tRNA
About the family: Transfer RNA (tRNA) molecules are approximately 80 nucleotides in length. Their secondary structure includes four short double-helical elements and three loops (D, anti-codon, and T loops).
Source: RNAcentral